CCUACGAGUGGCAGCAGUGAGGAAUAUUGGUCAAUGGGCGGAAGCCUGAACCAGCCAAGUAGCGUGCAGGAUGACGGCCCUACGGGUUGUAAACUGCGUUUAUACGGGAAUAACGCGCCUUACGUGUAGGGCUUUGCAUGUACCGUCUGAAUAAGGACCGGCGAAUUCCGUGCCAGGAGCCGCGGUAAUACGGAAGGUCCGGGCGUUAUCCGGAUUUAGUGGGGUUAAAGGGAGCGUAGGCCGCAUUUCAAUCGUGCUGUGAAAUGUCCGGGCUCAACCCGGGCCUUGCAGCGCGAACUGGCGUGCUUGAGUCCGCGGAAAGCAGGCGGAAUUCGUCGUGUAGCGGUGAAAUGCUUAGAUAUGACGAAGAACCCCGAUUGCGAAGGCAGCUUGCUGCAGCGGAACUGACGCUGAUGCUCGAAAGCGCGGGUAUCGAACAGGAUUAGAUACCCGUGUAGUC
RNAcentral lists this ribosomal RNA (460 nucleotides) under uncultured bacterium. Its description in RNAcentral is "partial 16S ribosomal RNA". It matches the Rfam family "Bacterial small subunit ribosomal RNA", at positions 338 to 795 of the family's 1533-position model. The record is from RNAcentral.